Molecule: long non-coding RNA, 312 nt
Filed under: Elaeis guineensis (African oil palm)
Lineage: Eukaryota; Viridiplantae; Streptophyta; Magnoliopsida; Arecales; Arecaceae
Description: long non-coding RNA (EGUI_LNC072985)
Source: RNAcentral
CUACUCGGAGGUCCUUCAUAUAAACUGCUAUCUAACUGGGAAGAGGAGAAUUCACCCUACCACUUGGACCAGGCAUUGAAAGUCGAAACUGCUUCGAGAUGCAGUACUGCCUCCAGAGCCGAACGACAUCAGAUUAAGACAAGGAAAAAAUUUUCACGUUCGGAUCUGAAAGGGAAUCAUCAACCAGAUCACCCAACCAACUACCUUGAGGAGGUUCUGCAGGCCCAUAUAUCGGUUUCUUACCCUUCCUACUCCUAUCGGAAGCCAUUAUCAAAGAAAAAGAAAGUCAACAAAGAAGGAAGGGAAGAUGAA